AUUCUCGCGUUGAUUAAGUCCCUGCCCUUUGUACACACCGCCCGUCGCUACUACCGAUUGGAUGGUUUAGUGAGGUCCUCGGAUCGGCCCCGGCGGGGUCGGCCACGGCCCUGCCGGAGCGUCGAGAAGACGGUCGAACUUGACUAUCUAGAGGAAGUAAAAGUC
RNAcentral lists this ribosomal RNA (165 nucleotides) under Gallus gallus (chicken). RNAcentral describes it as "partial 18S ribosomal RNA". It matches the Rfam family "Eukaryotic small subunit ribosomal RNA", at positions 1632 to 1790 of the family's 1831-position model. Lineage: Eukaryota; Metazoa; Chordata; Aves; Galliformes; Phasianidae. The record is from RNAcentral.